This 253-nucleotide ribosomal RNA is filed under the name uncultured bacterium. Its description in RNAcentral is "partial 16S ribosomal RNA". It matches the Rfam family "Bacterial small subunit ribosomal RNA", at positions 524 to 776 of the family's 1533-position model. The record is from RNAcentral.
UACGUAGGGGGCAAGCGUUGUCCGGAUUCAUUGGGCGUAAAGAGCGUGUAGGCGGCCAGGUAGGUCCGGUGUGAAAACUCGAGGCUUAACCUCGAGAUGUCAUCGGAAACCAUCUGGCUAGAGUCCGGAAGAGGAAAGUGGAAUUCCUGGUGUAGCGGUGAAAUGCGCAGAUAUCAGGAAGAACACCAAUGGCGAAAGCAGCUUUCUGGGACGGUACUGACGCUGAGACGCGAAAGCGUGGGGAGCGAACAGG